GCCCCCUUAGCUUAAUCGGAAGAGCGUCAGACUUUUACGAAGACAACUUCGUCACGGUCAUCUGAAGGUCGCCAGUUCGAGCCUGGCAGGGGGCG
Molecule: transfer RNA, 95 nt
Filed under: Drechslerella stenobrocha 248
Lineage: Eukaryota; Fungi; Ascomycota; Orbiliomycetes; Orbiliales; Orbiliaceae
Rfam family: tRNA
About the family: Transfer RNA (tRNA) molecules are approximately 80 nucleotides in length.
Source: Rfam by way of RNAcentral